This 900-nucleotide ribosomal RNA is filed under the name uncultured archaeon. RNAcentral's name for it is "bacterial SSU rRNA". It matches the Rfam family "Archaeal small subunit ribosomal RNA", at positions 455 to 1354 of the family's 1478-position model. The record is from RNAcentral.
GUGUCAGCAGCCGCGGUAAAACCAGCACCUCAAGUGGUCAGGAUGAUUAUUGGGCCUAAAGCAUCCGUAGCCUGCUCUGUAAGUUUUCGGUUAAAUCUGUACGCUCAACGUACAGGCUGCCGGGAAUACUGCAAAGCUAGGGAGUGGGAGAGGUAGACGGUACUCGGGAGGAAGUGGUAAAAUGCUUUGAUCUCUCGAUGACCACCUGUGGCGAAGGCGGUCUACCAGAACACGUCCGACGGUGAGGGAUGAAAGCUGGGGGAGCAAACCGGAUUAGAUACCCGGGUAGUCCCAGCUGUAAACUAUGUAAACUCAGUGAUGCAUUGGCUUGUGGCCAAUGCAGUGUUGCAGGGAAGCCGUUAAGUUUACCGCCUGGGAAGUACGUACGCAAGUAUGAAACUUAAAGGAAUUGGCGGGGGAGCACCACAAGGGGUGAAGCCUGCGGUUCAAUUGGAGUCAACGCCAGAAAUCUUACCCGGAGAGACAGCAGAAUGAAGGUCAAGCUGAAGACUUUACCAGACAAGCUGAGAGGUGGUGCAUGGCCGUCGCCAGCUCGUGCCGUGAGAUGUCCUGUUAAGUCAGGUAACGAGCGAGAUCCCUGCCUCUAGUUGCCACCAUUACUCUCAGGAGUAGUGGGGCGAAUUAGCGGGACCGCCGCAGUUAAUGCGGAGGAAGGAAGGGGCCACGGCAGGUCAGUAUGCCCCGAAACUCUGGGGCCACACGCGGGCUGCAAUGGUAAUGACAAUAGGUUCCAAAUCCGAAAGGAGGAGGUAAUCCCUAAACAUUACCACAGUUAUGACUGAGGGCUGCAACUCGCCCUCACGAAUAUGGAAUCCCUAGUAACUGCGUGUCAUUAUCGCGCGGUGAAUACGUCCCUGCUCCUUGCACACACCGCCCGUC